UACAGAGGGUGCAAGCGUUGUUCGGAAUUAUUGGGCGUAAAGCGCGUGUAGGCGGCUUUGCAAGUCGGGUGUGAAAGCCCUCAGCUCAACUGAGGAAGUGCGCCCGAAACUGCAGAGCUUGAGUACCGGAGAGGAUGGCGGAAUUCCCCAAGUAGAGGUGAAGUUCGUAGAUAUGGGGAGGAACACCGGUGGCGAAGGCGGCCAUCUGGACGGAUACUGACGCUGAGACGCGAAAGCGUGGGGAGCAAACAGG
RNAcentral lists this ribosomal RNA (253 nucleotides) under uncultured bacterium. Its description in RNAcentral is "partial 16S ribosomal RNA". It matches the Rfam family "Bacterial small subunit ribosomal RNA", at positions 524 to 776 of the family's 1533-position model. The record is from RNAcentral.